RNAcentral lists this long non-coding RNA (514 nucleotides) under Callithrix jacchus (white-tufted-ear marmoset). RNAcentral describes it as "lncRNA (ENSCJAG00000063793.2)". Lineage: Eukaryota; Metazoa; Chordata; Mammalia; Primates; Cebidae. The record is from RNAcentral.
ACGUCAGCAGCACAUUUAACUUAUAUAUCAUAACCAAAUUCUUCAUUCCCCCCUCACCUCAGAAACUACCACCAAGGAAUGCCAUGGAUACUGAAUAGAAAGGCUUUGGACAACUGUAAUGAAAAAUGGAAAACCAUAAAGAUAUUCUGGGAUGGCAGAUUUUAUUUUAAAUUAUAUUUCCCAAACAUUUCUGGCAAUGAGAAUGGGAUAUCUGGAAAUUUCAGAAUCAGCAGACAACUGAAGCUCUGUAGUCACACAGUAAGAAGUUUGUAGAAGUGUUCCACAGCAUGUUUCCUGUUUACAGCCCCACACAUGUGGAUGUGCACUGGUUACUGCAGUGAAUUCUGUAAACUGCACUUGCAUGGAAUUCUAUAAUCAGCAGACAUAGCUCAUUUGAUGGACCAAGCAUUUGGGGAUCUGGAAUAUCAACAGCACAUCAAGAGAGAUUCAGGCCAAGAAAAGUCAGCUAUCCUCCAUUCUAUAGGUAACUAUGGAAAAUUUAGACACAUCAGAG